Saccostrea cuccullata (small rock oyster) is the source of this 1814-nucleotide RNA transcript. RefSeq lists it as uncharacterized. The record is from RefSeq and is a predicted model, not a curated record. The transcript is spliced from 2 exons. Lineage: Eukaryota; Metazoa; Mollusca; Bivalvia; Ostreida; Ostreidae.
AGAGAUACUCGAGACUUGAAGACGAGACCGAGUCGUCUGAAGAAGAUGACUUCCGGGAUGCGCAAUCAGAGCCAAUGCCAAUUUUCGACAAUGCAAAAGAUUUCAAUGGAAAGAAAUCGAGAAAGAAAAAGCGACGGAAAAAGGUACAUCUCUUGAAAGUAUUGCGUAGACUUUCAUGUUUGACGUCUGCAAUGCAAACCAAUCAAAGAAAGUUUCGCUGAAUUAAAAGAAUGAAAUGACAAUGGUUAUGUUUGAGUUGAGAUGUACUCUUCUUUUUAGAGGUCCAAGUCGAUACCAAAUCAUUCAAAACCUCUUAAAUGUGUUGUAAAAUGUAUUUACCUAUAUCGCUAUAUGUAAAUAAUUAUCCAUGCAAUCUCAAAUGUACGCAAUUCAUUGUAAAGUAUUUCCCGCACUGUGUUCAAUGUACAUAUUUAUGCCAGUAUUUUAUUGUUGCCAAAUUUAUUGCAAUCAAGCCUUUUGAGAGAGGAUUUUUUUUAUUUAGCAUCAAUGGAGAGGCAAAAGUAUGUACACCCCUUGAUAAUGCAAAAGUGCAAUUUAUUUUUCCCCUCACUUCCUUUGCAAACUUAUUACGUGCAAUUAUGCAGGAAGUACAGUUAUCCAAUACAAGCGAUUUCGUCUGUGGUGAUGAUAUAUAUAUAAACAAUAUUGUUUGAUGCAGCGAAAAUUUAACAAGCAUCUAUUAAUUCUUUUGAUAGAUGCAUGUUUACAAAGGCCUCAGAAAGAUCGUAUCUUCUGUAGGGAAGGCGUUCGUGAUCGCUCAUGGCGCUUCUUUGCUCACGGUCGAGGAUCUUACUUUUUCUAAACCGACAGGGUAUUUCUUUGCAUGGCUUGUUGUUCGAAAGAUACAUAUCAUGAUGUAUUCAGAAAUCCUCCAUAACCUUGGCCAGGCUAAAAAUAUUGAAGCACGAGUUCAUAUGAGGUCAUAAAACUGUUUUUGUUAUAGGUGUACAAUAUGGCGGAGCUACAAUUGUACUCACGUAUACCAAGGUCACCCCUAAAAUAUCCAAGUCAAUUAGAAUAAGUACAGUUGCCCCCGUACGAUGAAGGAGACUACUGCAUUAAUGAGUUCGUAUAUAUAUCGAGCAAAUUAAGGAUCCUAUGGCAUUAGGUUACAUGUAAUUACUUGCCAAAAGUUCACGAAGUCCCUCUGCUAGUAGGCCAUAAAAUAAACCUUGUAACUCGCCAUCGCGAGUUCCAAUCACAGGUAGUUGUUUCUGUGAUAAUACUUUGGACCCAUAGUAUACUGGUGUAAUAAUAUCCAUGGGUUAAAAAAAAUAUAUAUUACAGAAACAAGUCCUGUAGUUGCAAGCUGUGAAAUGGAGACACCAAAAAAAGAUAUUUGAGAAAAUUAUAUAUGGUUUUCAAACCGAAAUAUUGGCUAUAUUAUUUUAUUUAUUGCAGUUUUAUCAUACAUAUUAUGGGCUGCUGUGUGUUUUGCGAUAGUGUAAAAUAAUGUUUUGAUCAAGAAACUUCUGUGAGCUGGGGUUGCUGAGAAGCAGCUGGGUUUUUGGUAAAAAAAAAAAAUGUUCUCAGUAUGCAAACAAGAUGCUUUGGUGGUGUACUUUCCCUGUAAAAAUCUCUUUGUCUAUAAAUACUCUGAUAUUGUUUAUUUUGUUCUUUUGCUGCAACGUGACAACAUCGUUGGAAAAUUUCGAUUGCCAAAAUGACCAGACGGACUGUUCGGGGAUCGUGGAAGUGGUUAAAGCGGGGGGUUAUGGGAUAUGCGGGUGGGCUGGCAACAGCCAAUAUAUUUAUGCUUUUUUAUAAGAAAGAAUAAACAGAUGUUAUUUUUA